RNAcentral lists this ribosomal RNA (435 nucleotides) under uncultured bacterium. RNAcentral's name for it is "partial 16S ribosomal RNA". It matches the Rfam family "Bacterial small subunit ribosomal RNA", at positions 29 to 507 of the family's 1533-position model. The record is from RNAcentral.
AGCGAACGCUGGCGGCAGGCUUAACACAUGCAAGUCGAGCGGGCACUUUCGGGUGUCAGCGGCGGACGGGUGAGUAACGCGUGGUAACGUGCCCUCUGGUUCGGAAUAACUCAGGGAAACUUGAGCUAAUACCGGAUACGCCCUUUUGGGGAAAGGCUUGCUGCCGGAGGAUCGGCCCGCGUCUGAUUAGCUAGUUGGUGAGGUAACGGCUCACCAAGGCGACGAUCCGUAGCUGGUCUGAGAGGAUGAUCAGCCACACUGGGACUGAGACACGGCCCAGACUCCUACGGGAGGCAGCAGUGGGGAAUAUUGGACAAUGGGCGCAAGCCUGAUCCAGCCAUGCCGCGUGAGUGAUGAAGGCCUUAGGGUUGUAAAGCUCUUUUAUCCGGGACGAUAAUGACGGUACCGGAGGAACAAGCCCCGGCUAACUUCGUG